This 440-nucleotide ribosomal RNA is filed under the name uncultured bacterium. RNAcentral's name for it is "partial 16S ribosomal RNA". It matches the Rfam family "Bacterial small subunit ribosomal RNA", at positions 338 to 795 of the family's 1533-position model. The record is from RNAcentral.
CCUACGGGAGGCAGCAGUGGGGGAUAUUGCACAAUGGGGGAAACCCUGAUGCAGCGACGCCGCGUGAGUGAAGAAGUAUUUCGGUAUGUAAAGCUCUAUCAGCAGGGAAGAAAAUGACAGUACCUGACUAAGAAGCCCCGGCUAACUACGUGCCAGCAGCCGCGGUAAUACGUAGGGGGCAAGCGUUAUCCGGAUUUACUGGGUGUAAAGGGAGCGUAGACGGUUAUGUAAGUCUGGGGUGAAAGCCCGGGGCCCAACCCCGGGACUGCUUUGGAAACUGGGUAACUGGAGUACUGGAGGGGCAGGCGGAAUUCCUGGUGAAGCGGUGAAAUGCGUAGAUAUCAGGAGGAACACCGGCGGCGAAGGCGGUCUGCUGGACUGAAACUGACGUUGAGGCACGAAAGCGUGGGGAGCAAACAGGAUUAGAUACCCCUGUAGUC